AACGAACGCUGGCGGCAUGCCUAACACAUGCAAGUCGAACGAGACCUUCGGGUCUAGUGGCGCACGGGUGCGUAACGCGUGGGAACCUGCCCUUAGGUUCGGAAUAACUCCCCGAAAGGGGUGCUAAUACCGGAUAAUUUCUUCGGACCAAAGAUUUAUCGCCUUUGGAUGGGCCCGCGUUGGAUUAGCUAGUUGGUAGGGUAAAAGCCUACCAAGGCGUCGAUCCAUAGCUGGUUUGAGAGGAUGCUCAGCGACACUGGGACUGAGACACGGCCCAGACUCGUACGGGAGGCAGCAGUGGGGAAUAUUGGACGAUGGGGGAAAGCCUGAUCAAGCAAUGCCGCGUGAGUGAUGCAGGCGUUAGGGUUGUAAAGCUCUUUUAGCCGAGAUGAUAAUGACGGUACCGGGAGAAUAAGCUCCGGCUAACUACGUG
RNAcentral lists this ribosomal RNA (433 nucleotides) under uncultured bacterium. RNAcentral describes it as "partial 16S ribosomal RNA". It matches the Rfam family "Bacterial small subunit ribosomal RNA", at positions 29 to 507 of the family's 1533-position model. The record is from RNAcentral.